RNAcentral lists this ribosomal RNA (253 nucleotides) under uncultured bacterium. RNAcentral describes it as "partial 16S ribosomal RNA". It matches the Rfam family "Bacterial small subunit ribosomal RNA", at positions 524 to 776 of the family's 1533-position model. The record is from RNAcentral.
GACGUAGGGUGCGAGCGUUGUCCGGAUUUAUUGGGCGUAAAGAGCUCGUAGGCGGUCUGUUGCGUCCGCUGUGAAAACUCGGGGCUUAACCCCGAGCCUGCAGUGGAUACGGGCAGACUAGAGGUAGGUAGGGGAGAAUGGAAUUCCCGGUGUAGCGGUGAAAUGCGCAGAUAUCAGGAGGAACACCGGUGGCGAAGGCGGGUCUCUGGGCCGAUACUGACGCUGAGGAGCGAAAGCGUGGGGAGCGAACAGG